This 85-nucleotide transfer RNA is filed under the name Felis catus (domestic cat). It matches the Rfam family "tRNA". Rfam says of the family: Transfer RNA (tRNA) molecules are approximately 80 nucleotides in length. Their secondary structure includes four short double-helical elements and three loops (D, anti-codon, and T loops). Further hydrogen bonds mediate the characteristic L-shaped molecular structure. tRNAs have two regions of fundamental functional importance: the anti-codon, which is responsible for specific mRNA codon recognition, and the 3' end, to which the tRNAs corresponding amino acid is attached (by aminoacyl-tRNA synthetases). tRNAs cope with the degeneracy of the genetic code in two manners: having more than one tRNA (with a specific anti-codon) for a particular amino acid; and 'wobble' base-pairing, i.e. permitting non-standard base-pairing at the 3rd anti-codon position. The record is from Rfam by way of RNAcentral. Lineage: Eukaryota; Metazoa; Chordata; Mammalia; Carnivora; Felidae.
GCCUGGGUGGCUCAGUCGGUUAAGCGUCUGACUUCAGCUCAGGUCAUGAUCUCGCAGUUUGUGAGUUCAAGCCCCACAUCGGGCU